This 398-nucleotide ribosomal RNA is filed under the name Metacrangonyx sp. 8 MDMBR-2012. Its description in RNAcentral is "partial 16S ribosomal RNA". The record is from RNAcentral. Lineage: Eukaryota; Metazoa; Arthropoda; Malacostraca; Amphipoda; Metacrangonyctidae.
UAGCAUAAUCAAUUGUUUUUUAAUUGGGGACUGGAAUGAAAGGUUGAACAAUUUUUAAGUUUGUUAAUAUUAAUAUUAUGAAUUUUUAUUAUAAGUAAAAAUACUUAUAUAAAAUAAAGGGACGAUAAGACCCUAGAAGCUUAAAUUUGAAGAAUUAUAAGAUAUAUUUAUAUUUAAAAUUUAUAUUUUGUAAAAUUUUGAUUGGGGAAAUAUGAAUUUUUAAAAUAAUUCAUGUUUAAAGUAAUAAAAUAUUUAAAGAUCUUUCAAAUGAGAAAGAGUAGAAUUAGUUACUCUAGGGAUAACAGCGUAAUAAUUUUGGAUAGGCCAUAUACAUAAGAUUGAUUACGACCUCGAUGUUGAAUUAAAGUAUCUUUAUAAAGUANAAAUUAUAUAAGAAG